UACGGGAGGCAGCAGUGAGGAAUAUUGGUCAAUGGACGUGAGUCUGAACCAGCCAAGUAGCGUGCAGGAUGACGGCCCUAUGGGUUGUAAACUGCUUUUAUGCGGGGAUAAAGUGCGCCACGUGUGGCGUUUUGUAGGUACCGCAUGAAUAAGGACCGGCUAAUUCCGUGCCAGCAGCCGCGGUAAU
RNAcentral lists this ribosomal RNA (187 nucleotides) under uncultured rumen bacterium. RNAcentral's name for it is "partial 16S ribosomal RNA". It matches the Rfam family "Bacterial small subunit ribosomal RNA", at positions 340 to 524 of the family's 1533-position model. The record is from RNAcentral.